Molecule: ribosomal RNA, 706 nt
Filed under: Salmonella enterica subsp. enterica serovar Infantis
Lineage: Bacteria; Pseudomonadati; Pseudomonadota; Gammaproteobacteria; Enterobacterales; Enterobacteriaceae
Also listed under: 1 other name
Description: partial 23S ribosomal RNA
Rfam family: Bacterial large subunit ribosomal RNA
Source: RNAcentral
UUAGUGGAAGCGUCUGGAAAGGCGCGCGAUACAGGGUGACAGCCCCGUACACAAAAGCGCAUGUGCUGUGAGCUCGAUGAGUAGGGCGGGACACGUGGUAUCCUGUCUGAAUAUGGGGGGACCAUCCUCCAAGGCUAAAUACUCCUGACUGACCGAUAGUGAACCAGUACCGUGAGGGAAAGGCGAAAAGAACCCCGGCGAGGGGAGUGAAAAAGAACCUGAAACCGUGUACGUACAAGCAGUGGGAGCCCCACCACCAAAGCAUUCUCUGGUGUUGAAGGCCCUGCAAAGCAGCAUCGCGGUGGCGGAGCGUCGUUUGCGACGCCCAACACACAAAACAAGCGGUGAGUGCUUUGGGGUGGGGUGACUGCGUACCUUUUGUAUAAUGGGUCAGCGACUUAUAUUCUGUAGCAAGGUUAACCGAAUAGGGGAGCCGGAGGGAAACCGAGUCUUAAUUGGGCGUUAAGUUGCAGGGUAUAGACCCGAAACCCGGUGAUCUAGCCAUGGGCAGGUUGAAGGUUGGGUAACACUAACUGGAGGACCGAACCGACUAAUGUUGAAAAAUUAGCGGAUGACCUGUGGCUGGGGGUGAAAGGCCAAUCAAACCGGGAGAUAGCUGGUUCUCCCCGAAAGCUAUUUAGGUAGCGCCUCGUGAAUUCAUCUCCGGGGGUAGAGCACUGUUUCGGCUAGGGGGCCAUCCCGGCUU